AAGCUGUGAUGAAUUAUAAUGCGCUGCUCGGUGAUAUUCAAGCUGGUAACUAUCAUGAGAAGUAUCGUAUGGAAAUGAUCGAGUCGCUU
Molecule: small RNA, 89 nt
Filed under: Salix viminalis (osier)
Lineage: Eukaryota; Viridiplantae; Streptophyta; Magnoliopsida; Malpighiales; Salicaceae
Source: RNAcentral